This 581-nucleotide ribosomal RNA is filed under the name uncultured bacterium. Its description in RNAcentral is "bacterial SSU rRNA". It matches the Rfam family "Bacterial small subunit ribosomal RNA", at positions 335 to 916 of the family's 1533-position model. The record is from RNAcentral.
AUUCCUACGGGAGGCAGCAGUAAGGAAUAUUGGUCAAUGGACGAAAGUCUGAACCAGCCAUGCCGCGUGAAGGAUGAAGGCCCUCUGGGUUGUAAACUUCUUUUAUAGGGGACGAAAAAAGGGAAUUCCUUCCCACUUGACGGUACCCUAGGAAUAAGCACCGGCUAACUCCGUGCCAGCAGCCGCGGUAAUACGGAGGGUGCAAGCGUUAUCCGGAUUCACUGGGUUUAAAGGGUGCGUAGGUGGGCAGUUAAGUCAGUGGUGAAAUCUCCGGGCUUAACCCGGAAACUGCCAUUGAUACUAUCUGUCUUGAAUAUCCUGGAGGUGAGCGGAAUAUGUCAUGUAGCGGUGAAAUGCUUAGAUAUGACAUAGAACACCGAUUGCGAAGGCAGCUCGCUACGGGAUUAUUGACACUGAGGCACGAAAGCGUGGGGAUCAAACAGGAUUAGAUACCCUGGUAGUCCACGCCCUAAACGAUGGAUACUCGACAUCAGCGAUACACUGUUGGUGUCUGAGCGAAAGCAUUAAGUAUCCCACCUGGGAAGUACGACCACAAGGUUGAAACUCAAAUGAAUUGACGG